UACGGAGGGGACUAGCGUUGUUCGGAAUUACUGGGCGUAAAGCGCACGUAGGCGGAUUUGUAAGUCAGGGGUGAAAUCCCGGGGCUCAACCUCGGAACUGCCUUUGAUACUGCGAAUCUCGAGUCCGGAAGAGGUGAGUGGAAUUCCUAGUGUAGAGGUGAAAUUCGUAGAUAUUCGCAAGAACACCAGUGGCGAAGGCGGCUCACUGGCCCGGUACUGACGCUGAGGUGCGAAAGCGUGGGGAGCAAACAGG
Molecule: ribosomal RNA, 253 nt
Filed under: uncultured bacterium
Lineage: Bacteria
Description: partial 16S ribosomal RNA
Rfam family: Bacterial small subunit ribosomal RNA
Source: RNAcentral